Molecule: long non-coding RNA, 586 nt
Organism: Amphimedon queenslandica
Lineage: Eukaryota; Metazoa; Porifera; Demospongiae; Haplosclerida; Niphatidae
Exons: 2
Source: RefSeq, a predicted model, not a curated record
UAAUUACAAAUAUUAUUUGUAUUUGACCCAAGUCUGAAACAGUGGUACAGAUAGUAGUAAGUGAAACUACUAACAUUGAAAUAUUUGAUAAUUAUUAUUAUUAGGCACUGAAGAUGAGACUGAAGAUGUGACUGCUGCAGUUUCAAAUGAUGAAGCAAUAUCAUCAGGAAAGCCAUUGGUAUCAUUGGAUCCAAGAUGUCAUGCAGCAUUAAUUAAACCAAUCAGAGCACUGCGAAAAAAGGCAGAAACAACAAAUUGGAAAUCUAUAGGAACAAGGCAGAGGAUUACCAUCCGUCAAAGUUUGAAGGAAUGUCCAAUUGAUAGGUGCAUUAUGAAACGUGUCAUGAAAAGCACUACGUGGAUUCAGUGUGAGAAAUGCAAACAAUGGUUUCAUAUCAGAUCUGCUGGGUAUAGUUCUAAGAAACAAGUAGAAAAAAAAGACUUUAGAUUUAAAUGCUGUUAAAAUUAUUCAACAAAGUACUAAAAUUGAAUUAUGUUGUGUUCAUGAGUUAUUGAAUUACCUUAUUGUGUUGCUUCAUAAAAAUUAUAAAAUUUACUUAACUAAAAUUAUUCCUUUAAAAACUGA